Molecule: long non-coding RNA, 458 nt
Filed under: Phoenix dactylifera (date palm)
Lineage: Eukaryota; Viridiplantae; Streptophyta; Magnoliopsida; Arecales; Arecaceae
Description: long non-coding RNA (PDAC_LNC007357)
Source: RNAcentral
AGGGUGUAGAUGCACCUUGUUGGUAUGAUUUAGUACAAUCAGUACUAGCUGGGGCACACAAGUACUUAAAUUCUUGUUUCAUAUACACUAGCCAUCGCAUAAAUCAAAACAAACUCGUUUACUAUUCCAUUGCAUUUGAAAUUUUAGAUGGCAAGGUUUGCCAUACUAGUUGGUAUCGUACCAUACCAGACGAAGCGUACCAUAUCCGUACCAAACUGGUACAUGCUGAACCUUACCAUAUCGUACUGCAUACCAACACCAUAAUAGAAUGGUAUCGGCAUGAGGUCCGAUACCGAGACAGUAAACUUAUUAGAUGGUCUAUCUUAAAGACUAAAAAAUAUACCUUGUUAGAUGGUCUAAAUUAAAGCCUAAAAAAUAGCAGAUCGAAUGCUCAAUUGGCAAAUCAAACUGUUCAUGUAAUAUCAAAGGUACUUGUUAGCACUCUUUUACAAGAACAG